GGCAAAAUUGGCACCCAUAAGUAGCUUCUUUCCAGUGAGCUUUGGACUCAAGUAUGGCAAUAGGAACUCCGUGCCAAGUGCUUGACUGAUAAAAUCAGGGAUGCUAAGCCCAUUAGAGAAUCGGCCAGUUGGUUGAUGAGUCGGAAAAUCAAUGCCAUAAGGUGGAGAGUCUGCCCGUGCAGUGGUGAGUAGGUAAUUGUUGUUGCC
RNAcentral lists this unclassified non-coding RNA (207 nucleotides) under Hevea brasiliensis (rubber tree). Lineage: Eukaryota; Viridiplantae; Streptophyta; Magnoliopsida; Malpighiales; Euphorbiaceae. The record is from RNAcentral.